AGGGUUUGAUCAUGGCUCAGGAUGAACGCUGGCGGCGUGCCUAACACAUGCAAGUCGAACGGAACUUUUACGGAACAAGGCUUCGGCCAAGUGAAAUUUAAGUUUAGUGGCGGACGGGUGAGUAACGCGUGAGUAACCUGCCUUUCACAGGGGGAUAACGUUUGGAAACGAACGCUAAUACCGCAUAACACAGCAGAGUCGCAUGGCUCAGCUGUCAAAGAUUUUAUCGGUGAAAGAUGGACUCGCGUCCGAUUAGGUAGUUGGUGAGGUAACGGCUCACCAAGCCGACGAUCGGUAGCCGGACUGAGAGGUUGAACGGCCACAUUGGGACUGAGACACGGCCCAG
This 346-nucleotide ribosomal RNA is filed under the name uncultured bacterium. RNAcentral's name for it is "bacterial SSU rRNA". It matches the Rfam family "Bacterial small subunit ribosomal RNA", at positions 8 to 334 of the family's 1533-position model. The record is from RNAcentral.